UACGUAGGUGACCAGCGUUGUCCGGAUUUACUGGGCGUAAAGAGCGCGCAGGCGGUCGUUCAAGUCGAGUGUGAAAGCCCCCGGCUCAACUGGGGAGGGUCAUUCGAUACUGAUCGACUCGAAGGCAGGAGAGGGAAGCGGAAUUCCCGGUGUAGAGGUGAAAUUCGUAGAUAUUCGCAAGAACACCAGUGGCGAAGGCGGCUCACUGGCCCGGUACUGACGCUGAGGCACGAAAGCGUGGGGAGCAAACAGG
RNAcentral lists this ribosomal RNA (253 nucleotides) under uncultured bacterium. RNAcentral's name for it is "partial 16S ribosomal RNA". It matches the Rfam family "Bacterial small subunit ribosomal RNA", at positions 524 to 776 of the family's 1533-position model. The record is from RNAcentral.